RNAcentral lists this ribosomal RNA (529 nucleotides) under Gyromitra costata. RNAcentral's name for it is "eukaryotic LSU rRNA". It matches the Rfam family "Eukaryotic large subunit ribosomal RNA", at positions 128 to 665 of the family's 3401-position model. The record is from RNAcentral. Lineage: Eukaryota; Fungi; Ascomycota; Pezizomycetes; Pezizales; Discinaceae.
CCCCCGGCCUCCGAGUUGUAAUUUGGAGAGGCAUCUUCGGGGAGGGGGCGCUGGCCCAUGUUCCUUGGAACAGGACGUCGCAGAGGGUGAGAAUCCCGUGCCAGGCCGGCCGCCUCCGCCCCGGUGAAGGGCCUUCGACGAGUCGAGUUGUUUGGGAAUGCAGCUCCAAGUGGGUGGUAAAUUUCAUCUAAAGCUAAAUACCGGCGGGAGACCGAUAGCGCACAAGUAGAGUGAUCGAAAGAUGAAAAGCACUUUGAAAAUAGAGUCAAAAAGUACGUGAAAUUGUUGAAAGGGAAGCGCUUGAGACCAGACUCGGACCCGGGCAAACAUCGCGCCCCCAGGGGCCGUGCAAUUGCCUGGGGCCGGGCCAGCAUCGGUCGGCGUGGCGGGACAAAGGCGCGGGGAAUGUGGCUCCCCUCGGGGAGUGUUAUCAGGCCCGCGCCCAAUGCCGCCUACGCCGACUGAGGACCGCGCCGCCCGGCUAGGAUGCUGGCUUAAUGGCCUUCAGCGACCCGUCUUGAAACACGGA